This 773-nucleotide ribosomal RNA is filed under the name uncultured Neocallimastigales. Its description in RNAcentral is "partial large subunit ribosomal RNA". It matches the Rfam family "Eukaryotic large subunit ribosomal RNA", at positions 24 to 617 of the family's 3401-position model. The record is from RNAcentral. Lineage: Eukaryota; Fungi; Neocallimastigomycota; Neocallimastigomycetes; Neocallimastigales.
UAUGUGAUCGUCUCUCGCAUAUCAAUAAGCGGAGGAAAAGAAACUAACAAGGAUUCCCCUAGUAACGGCGAGUGAAGCGGGAAGAGCUCAAAUUUGAAAUCUUAAAGGGUUUCCCUUUACGAAUUGUAGUUUAAAGAAGUGUUUUCUGUUGAGGUUUUGGUAAAAGUUCUUUGGAAUAGGACAUCAUAGAGGGUGAGAAUCCCGUAUUUGACCUUUACUUUCAACUUUGUGAUACACUUUCAAAGAGUCGGAUUGUUUGGGAAUGCAGUCCAAAAUGGGUGGUAAAUUUCAUCUAAAGCUAAAUAUUGGCGAGAGACCGAUAGCGAACAAGUACCGUGAGGGAAAGAUGAAAAGAACUUUGAAAAGAGAGUUAAACAGUACGUGAAAUUGUCAAAAGGGAAGCGUUUGACACCAGUGUUGUUUUUCUGAAAAUCAAUUAAAGAACUGUUUAUGCUAAGUUGUUUAGACUUUAUCAGCUAACUGUUUAGUUUUGAGCUUUUCUUUAAUGCACUUUUCAGUUAACAAGUCAACAUCAAUUUCUUUUGCUGUAAAAAAGCUUGAGGAAGGUGGCUUGAGAUUCGUCUUAAGUGUUUAUAGCCUCUUGCCUAUGCAGUCGGAGAGAUUGAGGUCUGCAGCGUAGAUCCUUCGGGGCUAAAUGCAUUUGUGCUAAGUUAUAGCAUUUUAUAGACAACUUGUUGACUAUGAUUUGUCUUGUAGCUUACUCGCUUAUGUUAUUUUACCUACGCUUAGGAUGUUGAGUCAUCACACAUCUC